This 468-nucleotide ribosomal RNA is filed under the name uncultured bacterium. RNAcentral's name for it is "partial 16S ribosomal RNA". It matches the Rfam family "Bacterial small subunit ribosomal RNA", at positions 28 to 507 of the family's 1533-position model. The record is from RNAcentral.
GACGAACGCUGGCGGCGUGCUUAACACAUGCAAGUCGAACGGAAAGGCCCUGCUUUUGUGGGGUGCUCGAGUGGCGAACGGGUGAGUAACACGUGAGUAACCUGCCCUUGACUUUGGGAUAACUUCAGGAAACUGGGGCUAAUACCGGAUAGGAGCUCCUGCUGCAUGGUGGGGGUUGGAAAGUUUCGGCGGUUGGGGAUGGACUCGCGGCUUAUCAGCUUGUUGGUGGGGUAGUGGCUUACCAAGGCUUUGACGGGUAGCCGGCCUGAGAGGGUGGCCGGCCACAUUGGGACCGAGAUACGGCCCAGACUCCUACGGGAGGCAGCAGUGGGGAAUAUUGCACAAUGGGCGGAAGCCUGAUGCAGCAACGCCGCGUGCGGGAUGACGGCCUUCGGGUUGUAAACCGCUUUCGCCUGUGACGAAGCGUGAGUGACGGUAAUGGGUAAAGAAGCACCGGCUAACUACGUG